RNA transcript from Sorghum bicolor (sorghum), 2138 nucleotides. RefSeq lists it as uncharacterized. The transcript is spliced from 5 exons. NCBI's taxonomy places the organism in Eukaryota, Viridiplantae, Streptophyta, Magnoliopsida, Poales, Poaceae. The record is from RefSeq and is a predicted model, not a curated record.
CCCCCUUACGCAACCGCCGCCCGCGCACGACUCCACAUCCGCCCUCGAUGCCCUCCUCUCUGUGCAUGCUGCUCCCCUCGCUCCCGCACCGAAAUCAACCACGCACUCCCCUCGCUCCCGCAUCAGAAAGGAGAGGACUCCGGAACGGGCGACGGCGCGCAUCCGCCUCCUCCGCCCCGCCUCUCCCGCCCUGCCUCCUCCGCAUCCGCCUCUCCUCCGCACGUCUCACCUCUCAUCGCAGCCCCGCCUCCCUCUGUCGUUCCUGGCCAUUGGCCUUCUUCUUCGUCGCCGGCUACGCUUGUGAGGAGGGAGGAGGAGCCGCAGCUCGUGGAUCCAGGUGCAGCGGCGUCCGUCCCACCGUCCCGCACCUCUCGUGUGCUCAGGUGCCCUGCCCCCGGUAAAGCCUCUUUUGGCUGAUUUAGAAACGAGGUCAACUUUUGAAAUGACUCAACGAAACUAAUCAAUAUAACCAAAUCCUCAACCCUAAACACUGGACACCGAAUCGUGGCUGGCCAUGUCGAACGAUGGUAGUGCGCGGUCGACGGUGAGGAGCGGUGGCAUCAAGGCCUGCCAAGCCGCUGUGUGAGUCCGAGCUCAACCAUCAGCGGCUUCAUGCUUGCAUCGGCCUCCCCAAAGAUGUCGAUCCCCACUGCAAAGGGAUCGAGUUCUUGGUAGCCGCCUCCAACAACGUCGUGGAAUCACCAACAAUGCCAGCGCCCACCGAGGUAGCGCGUACAACUCUGGUCACCGAGGAGGCAGUCGUAAACAAGGACUAUUUGCAGAGCACAAAGACAGAACUUAUUUGUGUAGAUAUUUGGAUAGCAGACAGUUGUCUACCAAAUAUAAUCUGUGCAUCCAAAAAAUCAAAGUGGUAUGGUGAAUUUGGCAACAAAUUAUUUAUUUCUGAUUCAGUUUCUCUUGUAUAAAGGUGUCAAUUACUAAUGCUAUAGUUUACAUGUGCACUGAUCUAUUCUGUAAGUAGAUACUCCUAGGUCCGUAAUAUGUGAGCAUUGCAUUGCCUGCACUCCUAUUCUAGAUGUUCUGAAUUAAUGAAGCCUGGAACUAAUGCGGAAAAUUUCAGUGUUACUACUGUCUGCUUCAGUUCUAGGUUCUAGAUGUACAUCAUAAUAUUUUCGCUUAGUAAUGAGCCACUUCAAACUUGGAUCAACCAAAAAACAGUGAAAGGGGGCAAUACCUAAAUGUGUUUAUUUGAAGCUUUAGUUUCCUUAUUAGCCUCCAGCCCCAAAGAUGCCUCAUUGCUGAGUCAGGCAGCCUAUUCUUGACAGAAUUCCCUCCAUUUUAGUUUAAGGUUGCCCACGCUGCUCCGCUACUAUGCUCAGUAAUUUGAAGGACAAAAGAAUACCCAGGCAAAAAAAAAAAGACAAUGAUAUUGAGUGGUAACAGUAGGCAGCCAAGUUUUGAAAUGUUGACACCUAAAUCCAACCCAUCCUACAAGAGAGGCCCUUAAUUAGACACCAGCACAGGAAAAAAAGCUUAAAAAUAAAUACACUGCACAUUUAUGUCCUAAGAAUUUACCACUCAUUUAAGUUCCUUGCUGCAAAAAUUUAUAUGUUAUAGCUUGUUGUUAACUGGUCACAAGAAACUCUCCCCUUGACUGAUGCAGUUUGGAAGAGAUUCUUUGUUAUGUUAUAGGAAUGGGUGCCCAAGUGUCUUAUGUGUUUCAUUCCGAGUGGAAAUUGCAUACAAAGUUCAAGUCAGUUGUCCAAUCGGGUGAAAUAAGCUUGUUGUGAUUUCUUUGUUUGGAUCGAAGGAUCAAUGUUAAAGUUGCCAAAAAUCAUUCCAACAAUAUGUUAUCAACAGAUCCCUUUUUCAAAGUUGCAUUUACUAUUUUUGUGAAGGCAGUUUCUCAAUAAUUAAACUGUCGGCCGGCCAUGAUCUGCAGGCUCCAUUGUUGGUUGUAAGGAUAAGGAUUAUAUUGUUAUUUCUUUGAUAUUUCAAAUGUUCAGGGAGAUGCCCAACUAGCAAAGCGAGGAUGUUCCACGUUGAUAAUCCAUUUUGUAUAGGCAUGCGAACUUGCGUGGGCUUUGCCGUGGGAAAAAAGUCCUUGUACCUGUACCACUUUCCCCCGCUCAAGUAUGAUCAUUUCUUUCCGCACUUAUUAAAUCGAAUGUUUGUCC